GUGAAGAACGCAGCGAAAUGCGAUAAGUAGUGUGAAUUGCAGAAUUCAGUGAAUCAUCGAAUCUUUGAACGCACAUUGCGCCCCUUGGUAUUCCAUGGGGCAUGCCUGUUCGAGCGUCAUUUGUACCUUCAAGCUCUGCUUGGUGUUGGGUGUUUGUCUCGCCUCCGCGUGUAGACUCGCCUCAAAACGAUUGGCAGCCGGCGUAUUGAUUUCGGAGCGCAGUACAUCUCGCGCUUUGCACUCACAACGACGGCGUCCAGAAGUACAUUUUUACACUCUUGACCUCGGAUCAGGUAGGGAUACCCGCUGAACUUAAGCAUAUCAAUAAGCGGAGGA
RNAcentral lists this unclassified non-coding RNA (336 nucleotides) under soil metagenome. RNAcentral's name for it is "partial contains 5.8S ribosomal RNA, internal transcribed spacer 2, and large subunit ribosomal RNA". The stretch from base 2 to 119 matches the Rfam family "5.8S ribosomal RNA", at positions 37 to 154 of the family's 154-position model. The record is from RNAcentral.